This 242-nucleotide ribosomal RNA is filed under the name uncultured bacterium. RNAcentral's name for it is "partial 16S ribosomal RNA". It matches the Rfam family "Bacterial small subunit ribosomal RNA", at positions 63 to 334 of the family's 1533-position model. The record is from RNAcentral.
CGAGCGCACUUUUUAAGUGAGCGGCAGACGGGUGAGUAAUGCAUGGGAAUCUACCUAUUUCUACGGAAUAACACAGAGAAAUUUGUGCUAAUGCCGUAUACGUCCGAGAGGAGAAAGAUUUAUCGGAGAUAGAUGAGCCCAUGUUGGAUUAGCUAGUUGGUGGGGUAAAGGCCUACCAAGGCGACGAUCCAUAGCUGGUCUGAGAGGAUGAUCAGCCACACUGGGACUGAGACACGGCCCAG